AUGCACCAUUUAGUUGAAAAAGUUUGAAAAAACAUUAGAGAAAUUCAAAUUAUACUCCUUUUGUUAUGUUUUCUAACGAUUGAGAUUCAGUUUAGAUGUGACAGGAACCCUUAUGUGGAAGAUUCCUCCUUUUCUUUACAUCAGAUUCAAUCUGUAACAUUUAAGGUUGAAGGUUUGUGGUUUGACUAUUUUCUUAGACUCUUUGUGAAACAAUCUAUGAUUUGA
Molecule: long non-coding RNA, 225 nt
Filed under: Prunus dulcis (almond)
Lineage: Eukaryota; Viridiplantae; Streptophyta; Magnoliopsida; Rosales; Rosaceae
Description: sRNA ncRNA
Source: RNAcentral